Molecule: ribosomal RNA, 463 nt
Filed under: uncultured bacterium
Lineage: Bacteria
Description: SSU rRNA
Rfam family: Bacterial small subunit ribosomal RNA
Source: RNAcentral
AGAAUCAACGCUGGCGGCGUGCCUAACACAUGCAAGUCGAACGAGAAAGUGGAGCAAUCCAUGAGUAAAGUGGCGCACGGGUGAGUAACACGUGACUAACCUACCCUUGAGUGGGGGAUAACCUAGGGAAACCUGGGCUAAUACCGCAUAAUACCUUCGGGUCAAAGGAGCAAUUCGCUUAAGGAGGGGGUCGCGGCCGAUUAGUUAGUUGGCGGGGUAAUGGCCCACCAAGACUGUGAUCGGUAUCCGGCCUGAGAGGGGCGCGACGGACGACGACUGGAACUGAAACACGGUCCAGACUCCUACGGGAGGCAGCAGUGGGGAAUUUGCGCAAUGGGGGAAACCCUGACGCAGCAACGCCGCGUGGAGGAUGAAGUCCCUUGGGACGUAAACUCCUUUCGAUCGGGACGAUUAUGACGGUACCGGAAGAAGAAGCCCCGGCUAACUUCGUGCCAGCAGCCGC